This 958-nucleotide ribosomal RNA is filed under the name Mammaliicoccus sciuri. RNAcentral describes it as "bacterial SSU rRNA". It matches the Rfam family "Bacterial small subunit ribosomal RNA", at positions 38 to 982 of the family's 1533-position model. The record is from RNAcentral. Lineage: Bacteria; Bacillati; Bacillota; Bacilli; Caryophanales; Staphylococcaceae.
GGCGGGGGUGCUAUACAUGCAAGUCGAGCGAACAGAUGAGAAGCUUGCUUCUCUGAUGUUAGCGGCGGACGGGUGAGUAACACGUGGGUAACCUACCUAUAAGACUGGGAUAACUCCGGGAAACCGGGGCUAAUACCGGAUAAUAUUUUGAACCGCAUGGUUCGAUAGUGAAAGACGGUUUCGGCUGUCACUUAUAGAUGGACCCGCGCCGUAUUAGCUAGUUGGUAAGGUAACGGCUUACCAAGGCGACGAUACGUAGCCGACCUGAGAGGGUGAUCGGCCACACUGGAACUGAGACACGGUCCAGACUCCUACGGGAGGCAGCAGUAGGGAAUCUUCCGCAAUGGGCGAAAGCCUGACGGAGCAACGCCGCGUGAGUGAUGAAGGUCUUCGGAUCGUAAAACUCUGUUGUUAGGGAAGAACAAAUUUGUUAGUAACUGAACAAGUCUUGACGGUACCUAACCAGAAAGCCACGGCUAACUACGUGCCAGCAGCCGCGGUAAUACGUAGGUGGCAAGCGUUAUCCGGAAUUAUUGGGCGUAAAGCGCGCGUAGGCGGUUUCUUAAGUCUGAUGUGAAAGCCCACGGCUCAACCGUGGAGGGUCAUUGGAAACUGGGAAACUUGAGUGCAGAAGAGGAGAGUGGAAUUCCAUGUGUAGCGGUGAAAUGCGCAGAGAUAUGGAGGAACACCAGUGGCGAAGGCGGCUCUCUGGUCUGUAACUGACGCUGAUGUGCGAAAGCGUGGGGAUCAAACAGGAUUAGAUACCCUGGUAGUCCACGCCGUAAACGAUGAGUGCUAAGUGUUAGGGGGUUUCCGCCCCUUAGUGCUGCAGCUAACGCAUUAAGCACUCCGCCUGGGGAGUACGACCGCAAGGUUGAAACUCAAAGGAAUUGACGGGGACCCGCCCAGCGGUGGAGCAUGUGGUUUAUUCGAGCACGCGAGGACCUUACCAAUCUUG